RNA transcript from Raphanus sativus (radish), 830 nucleotides. RefSeq lists it as uncharacterized. The record is from RefSeq and is a predicted model, not a curated record. The transcript is spliced from 2 exons. NCBI's taxonomy places the organism in Eukaryota, Viridiplantae, Streptophyta, Magnoliopsida, Brassicales, Brassicaceae.
UCCGUUAUGAUCUGAAUUCCAAGGAUCGUAUGUUUGAGAAAGAUGCGAUCGAUUUGUCUUCUUUUACAAAUCGAUGAAAGGAAAUAACAUCAAGAAUCAAAAACGGCUGUUUCCAAGGAAAGGAGUGAUACAGAUCAAGAUGUUGAUUUCGAUUUCAGGGCAUCUUACUAUGGAUUCAUGCAUUGUUGCCAUAGAACCAUCAAGGAAGUUUUCAUUGUUUGAUGUUAUGGAUCCAGAAAGGUUUUGAUUGGAUUUUCAAACUUUGGUUUACAUUUUGACUGGUUUUUAUUGCCUCAUUAUGCAGAUAUUGGGGAUUUGAUCUUCGCAGGAUUUGGUUAUUUUCGAAGUUCUGUAUUUGGAACAGAGGUCUUCACACUCUGUAUUUGCCAGAAACGGCCAAAGCCGCAGGUCUCAACUAUCUGCAAAAGUCUGUGCUUCUUCCUCGAUCAUCAGUUAUGAUGAACUUUUUUUUUCAGUCCGUGGUUUAAGUAACAGAGCUACUGAAACUACGUUACGGAAACAUUCAGAGUUCACUACUGGAACAAGAAAGGUACACAUUUAAUUGCUAGAAGUCAUAAAGAUUGGGUUUCUUUGAUACAAAGUCAAAAUCCAUGAGCUUUAGUUUGGAUCUCGCUAUUUUUGGGAAAGAAUGAUGUAGAUUUGACGAUGUAUCAGGAUUGUACUCUGGUAAAACACAAAUGGUGUUUAAAUGUUUCAAUACGAGUCUGGGUUCUCUAAAGGAAUCAUACAAGGUCGGUUAUGGUUAUGGGUUGUUGUUUUAGAAUGGAACAUAUGUAUAUUGUAGUUGCUCGGAAUAAUAUAGUUCUGGA